UUUAAAGUUCGUUCCAAGACCGAAGAAGCAAAACAAUGUAACAUACUCGUUAUUUAAUCAAAUUCUAAUUCAACUAUUCAGAACGUAAAAGUUUUUCUAAGUAACGCCCACAAAAGUGUAUAACAACUGUACUGCAAAGACGAGCCAAAUGCUCUCACCGAGCCUCACCCUGAAAAUAAUCUCAGAGAGGACGUGACAACGACAUCAUGAUGAAUAUAACUACACAUUUAAAGUUCGUUCCAAGACCGAAGAGGCAAAACAAUGUAACAUACUCGUUAUUUAAUCAAAUUCUAAUUCAACUAUUCAGGACAUAAAGUUUUGCUAAGGAACGCCCACAAAAGUGUAGAGCAACAGUACUGCCAAGAAUGCUCCUCUAGGAGUAGCUUGAGAAAACUUCAUCCUUAUGCCAGAUUAACUUCCUUCUAUGACAUCUUCAAUCCGUUCGCUUACAACAUCAGUUUUUGCACAUUUCUUUGAUACAACUGUCGGCCUCACCUAGUCACUUUUAUUCACCAAACGGACCAACUUUUUAUCACGAACGAAUUUAGAACUUGAAGUUACCUGUUUCAAAAAUAUAAACCAUGACUGUUUGCAAGCACGAAACAGAUUAAUAAGAGUCAUUAACUCUUUAUUAUUUAUACAAAAAAUACCAUACUAAUGCAAGUCAACCUUUAGACUAAUAUAAAAUUCUCUUUACUUUGUAGUUUAUAUAAGUCAACUGAAUCAUUAUGAGUAAAGCUACAUUGAUUGAUCGAAUUGAAUCUCCUGCACGUUUUCAAGUUUCUUUAACUAAGUUAUAAUAUAGAACCGUGUCAACCAUACUUUUGUUAGUUUACCACUUUUUGAAUUUUUGAUAGUCGAUAGUAAACCAUACGAGCCUCUGUAGUAUGUAACCUCAGGCCAUGAGCCUUUGUAAUCAUUAGAGGACAUUAAAUUCACGAUAAAUGCAUGGAAGGGGCAAUAUUAUGUAUUAAUUUUCAAAAAAUUCCAUCAUAUCCAGCACACAAAAACCAUACUCAGAACAAUCAUGAAUCCUGCUAUUAUGUUACAUUUGAAAAAGAGUGUCAGUAAUUUAUUUUCAUGCGAGUAUACAUUUCUGAAUCACUUUCUGACAAAAAGAGUUUAAAAUUGCUUUUUAGAUAAAUAUGGUCUACAGUCUGAAUUGUGUGAAACUACCAGGGAAUCACUCACUCGUGGCAUAUACCCCGGGCCAGUUUCUAGUUGGGAUGCAAUAGGCCAAACACCAAGCCACUCCGGAAAGAAGAGAUGGUACAAAGAAAAGGAUAGGUAAUUCCGAAUUUAAAACCAGUCAUGUCAUGUGUAAUAUCAACUUAUGUAUGCUGCCUUAAAAACUAUUUUCCUAUGGUUUGUAAGCCUGUAAAGUGGGUUGUUUAGGAACCAAUAAAGAAAGUAAGAGACAAGAAUCCUUAUAUACUUAUAAAAGAUUUGUCAAGUGGAUAUUAACAGUUGAGAGAGAGGAAAUAAUAUAUUUUUUAAGUUCUUGGAAACAAAUAAAGAAGGAUUGGAAUAUAAGGGUUAGCUAAUGAAAAAAUGGUAUGGUAUGAAUAUAUUAAUAUAGCUGAAGCAUUAGGAUUUCACACUACCUUGGCCUUUACCGCUUCCCUAAGCACGUUCACAUCUUCCAUCCGACCAGCUUCCUGGAGUGACUUGACAGCAAGCUUUUGCAGCUUUUUCAUUUUCAUUACUCCAUCAU
This 1714-nucleotide long non-coding RNA is filed under the name Aquilegia coerulea. RNAcentral describes it as "long non-coding RNA (ACOE_LNC000116)". Lineage: Eukaryota; Viridiplantae; Streptophyta; Magnoliopsida; Ranunculales; Ranunculaceae. The record is from RNAcentral.